Molecule: ribosomal RNA, 508 nt
Filed under: uncultured Glomeraceae
Lineage: Eukaryota; Fungi; Glomeromycota; Glomeromycetes; Glomerales; Glomeraceae
Description: SSU rRNA
Rfam family: Eukaryotic small subunit ribosomal RNA
Source: RNAcentral
AGCAGCCGCGGUAAUUCCAGCUCCAAUAGCGUAUAUUAAAGUUGUUGCAGUUAAAAAGCUCGUAGUUGAAUUUCGGGGUUAGUAGGUUGGUCAUGCCUCUGGUAUGUACUGGUCUCACUGAUUCCUCCUUCCUGAUGAGCCGUAAUGCCAUUAAUUUGGUGUUGCGGGGAAUUUGGACUGUUACUUUGAAAAAAUUAGAGUGUUUAAAGCAGGCUCACGCUUGAAUACAUUAGCAUGGAAUAAUGAAAUAGGACGUUUGAUUCUAUUUUGUUGGUUUCUAGGAUCGACGUAAUGAUUAAUAGGGAUAGUUGGGGGCAUUAGUAUUCAAUUGUCAGAGGUGAAAUUCUUGGAUUUAUUGAAGACUAACUACUGCGAAGGCAUUUGCCAAGGAUGUUUUCAUUAAUCAAGAACGAAAGUUAGGGGAUCGAAGACGAUCAGAUACCGUCGUAGUCUUAACCAUAAACUAUGCCGACUAGGAAUCAGACGAUGUUAAUUUUUUAAUGACUCG